CCUGGGCGGGGAGGAGACGUCUGCAGAGAAGCACAGCGGCAUAACCAUGCUAGGCUUUUGAAGAAGUUGAUGGCUGCAACUGUYUGGGGACUCUACAAUACUUCAAACAAAUCCCAUGUCUUCUCAGGACACUCAGCUUAAAAAAAGCUUGCUUGUAUAAACAGGGCUUUCCUUGCCUGCCUUAUAGCCUGAUUCCGCAAGUUUGAGUUUUCCAGCACCAAGCACAGUGUGGACACUGCAAGAAAAAGAUACCAAAUAAGAGAUCCAGUCCUUGCAGCAAGAAAUGGAUACACGCUUCAAGAUGAUGCAUUAAACAUUCCUGAGGAAAAGUACAGUGAUGGCUCCCAGUACGCUUUGUGCGUCUUCCAGAGGGUGUCAGAUCUCCAAACCAACCUGUAACUGAAGACAGGAGACCUGGUGGGGGAGAGCUCUGUCUGUAACCAGACUGUGCAGGCAGCGUCUCCUUGCAGAAAGUGAGCUCACAAGGACUUUCAUCUGUAAUUGCUGAACC
This 511-nucleotide long non-coding RNA is filed under the name Dromaius novaehollandiae (emu). RNAcentral's name for it is "lncRNA (ENSDNVG00000006037.1)". Lineage: Eukaryota; Metazoa; Chordata; Aves; Casuariiformes; Dromaiidae. The record is from RNAcentral.